Long non-coding RNA from Mya arenaria, 355 nucleotides. RefSeq lists it as uncharacterized. The record is from RefSeq and is a predicted model, not a curated record. The transcript has 4 exons. NCBI's taxonomy places the organism in Eukaryota, Metazoa, Mollusca, Bivalvia, Myida, Myidae.
GCAGGGACGGGGAUAAUCACUGGCACUGGUACUGGUACGGGAACUGGCACUGGUACUGGUACGGGAACUAGCACUGGUACAGGUACGGGAACUGGUACCGGUACAGGAACUGGCACUAUCACAGGAACUGGGUCUGGUAGCUGUAUGGACAAGUUAUCCAACUGCGCUGCCUACACUCAAGAUGCGUGCACGGGAUUGUACGAGCAAUGGGCACGUGACAACUGCGCACACUACUGUAACCUCUGUCCAGCGACGGGUUCUGGUGGUGUAAUAACCGGAUCCGGUACCGCGGCACCGGGCACUGGGACAGGGACGGGAACGGGAACCGGCACCGGCACUGGCUCUGGAUAUGUGG